GCAAACUUGGUCAUUUAGAGGAAGUAAAAGUCGUAACAAGGUUUCCGUAGGUGAACCUGCGGAAGGAUCAUUAUUGAAUUCCAAACGUAAAGGACUUGUGCUGUGCGCUUUCACCGGCUGCACGCCUUGUCCGAUACAUUCACACCUGUGCACCUUUGACCCGCAUAUAGUCGGGUCCUUACACACACACUUUAAAAAUCUUAGAAUGUUUUUGUUUGAAAUUAUGACAACUUUCAACAACGGAUCUCUUGGCUCUCGCAUCGAUGAAGAACGCAGC
This 277-nucleotide unclassified non-coding RNA is filed under the name uncultured fungus. Its description in RNAcentral is "partial contains small subunit ribosomal RNA, internal transcribed spacer 1, and 5.8S ribosomal RNA". The stretch from base 1 to 73 matches the Rfam family "Eukaryotic small subunit ribosomal RNA", at positions 1759 to 1831 of the family's 1831-position model. The record is from RNAcentral. Lineage: Eukaryota; Fungi.